UGGGGAAUUUUGCGCAAUGGGCGAAAGCCUGACGCAGCAACGCCGCGUGAGUGAUGAAGGUCUUCGGAUCGUAAAGCUCUUUCGGCCGGGACGAAAACGGGUUGGUGAAUAGCCAACUCCUUGACGGUACCGGAAGAAGAAGCACCGGCUAACUCUGUGCCAGCAGCCGCGGUAAUACAGAGGGUGCAAGCGUUGUUCGGAAUUAUUGGGCGUAAAGCGCGUGUAGGCGGCGGAGCAUGUCGGGUGUGAAAGCCCUCGGCUUAACCGAGGAAGUGCGCCCGAAACUGCUCUGCUCGAGUGCUGGAGAGGGUAGCGGAAUUCCCGGUGUAGAGGUGAAAUUCGUAGAUAUCGGGAGGAACACCAGUGGCGAAGGCGGCUACCUGGACGGACACUGACGCUGAGACGCGAAAGCGUGGGGAGCAAACA
This 426-nucleotide ribosomal RNA is filed under the name uncultured Archangiaceae bacterium. RNAcentral describes it as "partial 16S ribosomal RNA". It matches the Rfam family "Bacterial small subunit ribosomal RNA", at positions 355 to 774 of the family's 1533-position model. The record is from RNAcentral. Lineage: Bacteria; Pseudomonadati; Myxococcota; Myxococcia; Myxococcales; Archangiaceae.